RNAcentral lists this long non-coding RNA (1210 nucleotides) under Ananas comosus (pineapple). RNAcentral describes it as "long non-coding RNA (ACOM_LNC009720)". The record is from RNAcentral. Lineage: Eukaryota; Viridiplantae; Streptophyta; Magnoliopsida; Poales; Bromeliaceae.
AUUAAUUUUAUAAUAAUAAUAAUAAUUAAAAAUUAAUAUUUAAUAGUGAUAAAUAUUAUUAUUAUUGAAUGAUAAUUUUAUUAUUAUUAUUAGUAUUACUACUAUUACAAGUAUUUAAUUUGACUAUACAAGUCAAAUUUGAUCAUAUUGACUUGUAUAGUCAAAUUAAAUACUAGUAAUAGUAAUAAUAAUAUUUUAUUUUUAAUAAAUAUUAAAUAUUAUUAUUAUUAUUAAUUUUUAAUUAUUAUUAUAAUAAAAAAAUAAAUAUUUUAAAUAAAAGUAGGUUCUGGAGGAGAGAGAAAAAAAAUUUCAUCUCCUAAUUAACAGAUAAAUGCUAUUAAGUCACCUUUUGUUUUCUAAUUUAUUAAAAAGAGGCUAGAUUAGAAUUUUUUUAAAAAAUAAAUUAACGCUGGAUUGAAAAUAUAUAUAUUUUUUCAACAAGGCUAGGUAUGAACAGACCGUUCCUAGUGCAAGUGGCAAAGGGCUUGGUGGUUGGUACUCGAGAUCUUAAGUUCGAAUCACAGUUGAUUCACAUUUCAGUUCGAAUUAUAGUUGAUUCAUAUUUUCAGCUAAAUUUAUUUCUAAAUAAAAUAAACGAAGCGGGAUAACAUACUACUAGGUACCAUUAGUUCGAUUUUUUUUAAUGCAAAUUAGGAGUGUGGCUAGGAUGCUUAUGGAAGCACGGAGGGCUCCGUGCUUCCACUUUGUUUUCGAUGUUCGGACUUUCGAAUCGACGAUCGACUCCGUUAGACUUGAUCUACAGUAUUUGAAGUAUCUAGAAAAUAAAUUUUGUGAUUUUUCGAUAUCAUUUGCCUAGUGAUCGAAGUAGCUCAAAAUCAACAGUUGAAAAUAAAAAUCUUACAAAAUAUGAUGAUAUGGCAUUAAAAUUUUAAAUCAAAGUUAUUGAUCUUGUUUUAUAUGGUAUAAAGAAUUUUCUAUCAAAAUUUCACGUGAUUUGGAUAUUUCUACACCGUUAAACUUGCAACCAGCUCACCACGGCCAUUAAAAUUAUUGAUUUUGAGCCCCUUCGAUCACUAGGUAAAUGAUAUCGAAAAAUCACAAAAUUUAUUUUCUAAGUACUUCAAAUACUCUAGAUCAACUCUAACGAAGCCGAUCGUCGAUUCGAAAGUCCGAACAUCGAAAAUAAAGUAAAAGUACGAAGGGCUAUGUGUUUCCGUAAGCAUGCCAGCCCACUCUGCAAAUUAGUCUG